Molecule: transfer RNA, 77 nt
Filed under: Candidatus Andersenbacteria bacterium RIFCSPHIGHO2_02_FULL_46_16
Lineage: Bacteria; Candidatus Anderseniibacteriota
Also listed under: 2 other names
Description: tRNA-Arg
Rfam family: tRNA
About the family: Transfer RNA (tRNA) molecules are approximately 80 nucleotides in length. Their secondary structure includes four short double-helical elements and three loops (D, anti-codon, and T loops).
Source: RNAcentral
GCACCCGUAGCUCAAUCGGAUAGAGCGCCAGACUUCGGAUCUGGAGGUUGCAAGUUCGAGUCUUGCCGGGUGCACAA